UGCUAAAGACAAAAUGAUGAAUGGAG
This 26-nucleotide non-coding RNA is filed under the name Homo sapiens (human). The record is from RNAcentral. Lineage: Eukaryota; Metazoa; Chordata; Mammalia; Primates; Hominidae.